Molecule: ribosomal RNA, 251 nt
Filed under: Salmonella enterica subsp. enterica
Lineage: Bacteria; Pseudomonadati; Pseudomonadota; Gammaproteobacteria; Enterobacterales; Enterobacteriaceae
Description: partial 23S ribosomal RNA
Rfam family: Bacterial large subunit ribosomal RNA
Source: RNAcentral
UGAGGGAAAGGCGAAAAGAACCCCGGCGAGGGGAGUGAAAAAGAACCUGAAACCGUGUACGUACAAGCAGUGGGAGCCCCACCACCAAAGCAUUCUCUGGUGUUGAAGGCCCUGCAAAGCAGCAUCGCGGUGGCGGAGCGUCGUUUGCGACGCCCAACACACAAAACAAGCGGUGAGUGCUUUGGGGUGGGGUGACUGCGUACCUUUUGUAUAAUGGGUCAGCGACUUAUAUUCUGUAGCAAGGUUAACCG